CAAUAGCGUAUAUUAAAGUUGUUGCAGUUAAAAAGCUCGUAGUUGAAUUUCUGGUGGGCGCGCCGGUCUUCCAAGUGUUGUACUGGGCGCAGUCCGCCAUCCUUGUGGAGAGGGCUCGCAUUGAGUUGCGUGUCGGAUCUGCAUCAUUUACUGUGAAAAAAUUAGAGUGUUUAAAGCAGGCUGUCGCUUGAAUACAUUAGCAUGGAAUAAUAAGAUAGGACUUGGGUCUAUUUUGUUGGUUGCGAACCGAGGUAAUGAUUAAUAGGGAUAGUUGGGGGUAUUCAUAUUUAAUUGUCAGAGGUGAAAUUCUUGGAUUUAUGAAAGAUGAACAACUGCGAAAGCAUUUACCAAGGAUGUUUNCAUUAA
This 366-nucleotide ribosomal RNA is filed under the name uncultured eukaryote. Its description in RNAcentral is "partial 18S ribosomal RNA". It matches the Rfam family "Eukaryotic small subunit ribosomal RNA", at positions 592 to 976 of the family's 1831-position model. The record is from RNAcentral.